AUAUAACUAAGCGGAGGAAAAGAAACUAACAAGGAUUUCCCUAGUAACGGCGAGUGAAGCGGAAAUAGCUCAGACUGAAAAUCUUCGGAAUUGUAGUCUGUAGAGGGCCAUGCUCAUGGAAUUUGUUCGAUAAAGUGGUCUGGAAUGACCCGCCGUGGAGGGUGACAGCCCCGUUCGCAUCGAAUGAAUGAAGUGGUCGGCAGGUUCUCGACGAGUCGAGUUGUUUGGGAUUGCAGCUCUAAUGGGUGGUAAAUUCCAUCUAAAGCUAAAUAUGGAUGGGAGACCGAUAGCGCACAAGUA
RNAcentral lists this ribosomal RNA (300 nucleotides) under uncultured eukaryote. Its description in RNAcentral is "partial large subunit ribosomal RNA". It matches the Rfam family "Eukaryotic large subunit ribosomal RNA", at positions 40 to 350 of the family's 3401-position model. The record is from RNAcentral.